GAUGAACGCUAGCGAUAGGCUUAACACAUGCAAGUCGAGGGGCAGCAUGGUCUUAGCUUGCUAAGACUGAUGGCGACCGGCGCACGGGUGCGUAACGCGUAUGCAACUUGCCUCACAGAGGGGGAUAACCCGUCGAAAGACGGACUAAUACCGCGUACACUUGGGAUAGGGCAUCCUGACCCAAGGAAAUGAAAUUCGCUGUGAGAUAGGCAUGCGUCCCAUUAGCUAGUUGGUGAGGUAACGGCUCACCAAGGCGACGAUGGGUAGGGGAACUGAGAGGUUGAACCCCCACACUGGUACUGAGACACGGACCAGACUCCUACGGGAGGCAGCAGUGAGGAAUAUUGGUCAAUGGGCGAGAGCCUGAACCAGCCAAGUCGCGUGAAGGAUGACUGUCUUAUGGAUUGUAAACUUCUUUUAUACGGGAAUAACAAGAGUCACGUGUGGCUCACUGAAUGUACCGGAUGAAUAAGCAUCGGCUAACUCCGUG
This 490-nucleotide ribosomal RNA is filed under the name uncultured bacterium. RNAcentral's name for it is "partial 16S ribosomal RNA". It matches the Rfam family "Bacterial small subunit ribosomal RNA", at positions 28 to 507 of the family's 1533-position model. The record is from RNAcentral.